This 438-nucleotide ribosomal RNA is filed under the name uncultured Methanomicrobiales archaeon. Its description in RNAcentral is "bacterial SSU rRNA". It matches the Rfam family "Archaeal small subunit ribosomal RNA", at positions 901 to 1338 of the family's 1478-position model. Lineage: Archaea; Methanobacteriati; Methanobacteriota; Methanomicrobia; Methanomicrobiales. The record is from RNAcentral.
UUUAAUCGGACUCAACGCCGGGAAACUCACCAGAUAAGACAGCUGAAUGAUAGUCGGGCUGAAGACUCUACUUGACUAGCUGAGAGGAGGUGCAUGGCCGUCGUCAGUUCGUACUGUGAAGCAUCCUGUUAAGUCAGGCAACGAGCGAGACCCACGCCAACAGUUGCCAGCUCGUCCUCCGGGAUGGUGGGGACACUGUUGGGACCGCCUCUGCUAAAGAGGAGGAAGGAAUGGGCAACGGUAGGUCAGCAUGCCCCGAAUUAUCUGGGCUACACGCGGGCUACAAUGGGUGGGACAAUGGGUAUCGACACCGAAAGGUGAAGGCAAUCUCCUAAACCCAUCCGUAGUUCGGAUUGUGGGCUGCAACUCGCCCACAUGAAGCUGGAAUCUGUAGUAAUCGUGUCUCAAAAUGGCACGGUGAAUAUGUCCCUGCUCCUU